Molecule: ribosomal RNA, 301 nt
Filed under: uncultured bacterium
Lineage: Bacteria
Description: partial 16S ribosomal RNA
Rfam family: Bacterial small subunit ribosomal RNA
Source: RNAcentral
CAGUAGCCACGGUAAAACAGAGGGUGCAAGCGUUAAUCGGAAUUACUGGGCGUAAAGCGCGCGUAGGUGGUUUGUUAAGUUGGAUGUGAAAGCCCCGGGCUCAACCUGGGAACUGCAUCCAAAACUGGCAAGCUAGAGUACGGUAGAGGGUGGUGGAAUUUCCUGUGUAGCGGUGAAAUGCGUAGAUAUAGGAAGGAACACCAGUGGCGAAGGCGACCACCUGGACUGAUACUGACACUGAGGUGCGAAAGCGUGGGGAGCAAACAGGAUUAGAUACCCCCGUAGUCCCUGUCUCUUAUAC